RNAcentral lists this long non-coding RNA (31691 nucleotides) under Triticum aestivum (bread wheat). RNAcentral's name for it is "long non-coding RNA (TAES_LNC025310)". The record is from RNAcentral. Lineage: Eukaryota; Viridiplantae; Streptophyta; Magnoliopsida; Poales; Poaceae.
GCUUCCUUCAUUGUGUUUAGGUACCAACACUGCAUUUGGAAUCCAAUGUUUUACUUACUCGGUGUGCAUGGACUCAUAUCAGUAUGCUGUUGAUUACUGCAACAAGGAGUGCAAAAUACUUGGUUAUGACAGCCAGAAAGGCUACUGUAAAAAGGAGAAUCGCGGCAUGUGUUGUUGUGCCUAAAGUUACAUUCAUUUUAUAUUGUCAUUUUGUAGUAAAGCAUUGCAUGUAUUUACUAGCCAGAAUACUAAUUUUUCUAGAUUAUACGAGAAUUUCAAUACAGUAUACAGGUAGUUGCUUUCGAAGACCAACUUGAAUAGCCGAUCAAUUCUUCGGGUCAUAUGAGCCAUCAAUGUGCCAGCUAAAAAUUGGAAGUACUGAUAAACUGAAAAAAUUAAAUUUGGGAGAGAAUUAAUGGAAUUAUAUGAGAAACACAUUGGGUAUAUGAAAUUUUAUCAUUAAACGAUGCUAGUUAAUACCAACUGAUGGAUGUAAAACUCAAAAAAGUCCAUAUUUGAAUCCUGGACUAUCACAAAUGUCUAAGAACCAACCCCAAUCUUUGAAACGAUCUAACUUGCAAUUGUAAACUGUCAAAGUCAAUCAAGUUUCAACUUUUCCUCUCCUCAAACCGGUAUUUGGUGAGUUGAAGUGGUUUUGAACAGUUGACCGCCUAGUCAGCUGCCAUGUCACUUAAUAUUUUUACUAAAUAUGUAUUUUAUUACAUGUUGUAAUCUAUUUGGCGGGAAUGGCCCUGUAGUUGAGAAAAAACCAGAUAAAAGCAUUGGGCAUUUCAUCACUAUUACAACUCUUGUAUCCACGAGAUGUAGGAUUUGUGCUACUGUAUUAAACAUUUCUAUCACUAGUUCAGAAUAACACUCCAUGGUCUGCCUGCUGUAAGCCUCUCCCUGACUCACUCUCUGUGAUCCUAGGUACCUACAAGGACAAAGAACGCGGAUGAGACAAGAGAAAUCAAUGAAGCAAUUUUAUGUUACACAUACGGGACGUAAAUUCAAAGUACUUCCAUAGGUAUCCCUCUAAUAAAUACAUAGGGUUGUAAGGCUAUGCCUUAAUCCAUGACGAUACCUUAGAUAAGGAGAACAGGUCACAAGUACAAUCCAUCAAUGAACACAUCAUGAAUAUUGAUUGAUAAUAUGUCUUACAAUAAUUGCCGGAUGUGAUAGACGAUUACAAAGUAUGGCUAGUUGGAUGAGUUCUUGGUGGGUGGAGAUGGUGGCGGCUAUGAAAUGAGAUGCAAAAUGGCGGUGGCUAGGGUUAAUUUGGACAAUGAAGAUUGAGGUUUGGGCGAUGCUCUGAUGCUAUUAUGUGAUUGAGCCCUUCAUGGUAUAUAUUUGUAGGGUUGGUCCAGGAGACCUUUAGCAAUCCAUAUGACAGCUCAUACGAGCGUGUGCGGUCGUAUGGAACAUGGUCUUGCUUUGUUCUUCCUGGAGUGUCUCCCACUUGAUCUCCUCUAUAUCCUGUUUACUCCCUUCCAUGUAUAUGCUUUAUUUCCUCCAUAUUUAACCCAUUUCCUAUGGAAAUAAAAUAAAGAUCGGACAUUUGGAAUCCUUUGCAUUGAUUAGUUGUUUGUAGUAAUAUCAGAGUGAAUAUCUUGGUUUUUAAGAAAUAUAUCGGUUUAUGCUCAUGUAUCAUGAGUGCAAGAACAACAGUUGUCAAUUACACCGAGCUUAGACUUGAUCAUCCUUGACCAACGUCGAGGAAAAUCCAAAACAUAAGGAACUCAGUUGUUUACACCAAAUAAGCGAUUAGGUUUUGCUUCACUUAUGAUCAACACACCUAGAUAACCCUACACUUCUUGACUUCUAAACUUAGUAUAGGUAUAGCGGUGACAUGGUUAUUAUGCAAGUGUUAGCGAAGCAAAGAUAAUCAGCACAAAGCUCUUGCUCAACUAGACAAAACAAUAAAGUAACUAUUGAUUCUAUUUUUGCGACUGAACACUUGCUUGUCGGGAAUGCACGAAGGUGAUUGCAUUUCUUGAGAAAUGAAAGCAUGUAUUAGGGAGUGAAACUUAUGCAACGACAACAUCAUUCUAGAGUAACUCUAACUCACCCACAAGUGUCUCAUCAUCAAGGAUCUCACGAACUUUAUUUAAAUCAUUGCUUGCUGAAUCUUUUGUUGUCUGGUGAUGGGAUGCCAAUGAAAGGAUGAAAAAUAAGGUUUUGUUGUGCUUUAAGUUUGAGUAUUAUGAACUAAUAUGUUGCGACUACGUACGGUAACAUAAUCAUAGCUGAAACUAGAGUCGAAACUCUAGUGGAUCGUUCAUUGUCCAGUGGAGUUCUCAGCAUUUGUAUCUCUAACAACAUCUUCUCUAAAAGUAUUUUCAACACCCAAGUCUUGUGAGACUUUCUGUUGUGCAUUGUUAUUCUUUGUUAACAUAUUAAUUUAUUUUAAUAGCCUGAUUUUCAUGGAUUACUUCAGAAAGUUACAAAUACAUAUUUUUUCUCUAAGUUUUGGAAAGUGGUUGCUCCGAUGCCCUGAGCCAUUCAAUGUUCGUAUUAUUAUAUGAAAUUUAAUAUGCAUGGAAACGACCUCUAAAAUGUAACUUUGGACCAUAAUAUUUUUUUAUGUAAGGAUACAAGUCAAUAUGGCAAUUAGAUUAUACCAAAACUAGGAAGAAACCAUUAAUACGAAAAAUAAUAAAGGGGCAAGAAUCAUUGUGCAUUGGCUCCUCUUUAUAAACACCGGUGCUAGAAAGAUACGCUCAGAGAAGGACAACAUCAAGAGAAAAUAAACACCAGUGUUGGAAAGAUAUGUUCAGAGAAGGACAACAUCAAGAGAAAAUGAGUAAUAGCAAGGCGGUCUUGAUGAUGGCACUUAUCAAGAACAAGACACGCAUUCUCUUUUGUGUUGCUCUUUUGUUGACGUGUACCACUUUUCUGUGUGGCCUAGCGGCAGCGGGGAGGGACAUAGGUAAUUGCCAAAUUAGUUUCCGAGAUGAGUUUCUUGAUAUAAAACAGAACAAAAUGAUUAUGUAUCAUUCUUUCUGUACAUAUUAAUUUGUAUGUUGUGGUUCUUCCUUCAUUGUGCUUAGGUACCAAGGCUGCAUUUGGAAUCCAAUGUUUUACUUACUCAGUGUGCAUGGACUCAUAUGAGUAUGCCGUUGAUUACUGCAACAAGGAGUGCAAAAUACUUGGUUAUGACGGCCAGAAAGGCUACUGCAAGAAGGAGAAUCGUGGCGUGUGUUGUUGUGCCUAAAGUUAAAGACAUGUUAUAUUGUCAUUUUGUAGAAAAUCAUUGCAUGUAUUUGCUUGUCAGAAUACUAAUUUAUAUGGAUUAUACGAGAAUUUCAAUAACAUAUACUGGUAGUUGCUUGCGAAGACCAACUUCUCUAGCCAAUCAACUCUUCAGGUCAUAUGAAUCAACAAUGAGCCAGCUAAAAAGUGGAAGUACUGAUAACUUAAAAUUUUAAAUUAGGGAGUGAAUUAAUGGAAAUAUAUGAGAAAUACAUUGGGUAUAUGAAAAUUUGUAAUUCAACGAUGCUAGUUAAUACCAACUGAUGGAUGUACAACUCAAAAAAAGUCCAUAUUCGAACCCUGGACUAUCACAAAUGUCUAAGAACCAACCCCAAACUUUGAAACAAUCUAUCUUGCAAUUCUAAAUUGUCAAAGUCGAUCAACUUUCAACUUUUCCUCUCCUCAAACCGGUAUUUGGUGCGUUGAAGUGGUUUGGAACAACUGAUCGCCUAGUCGGCUGCCAUGCCACUUAAUAUUUUUCCUGAAUUUGUAUUUUAUUGCAUGUUGUAAUCUGUUUGGCGGGAUCGGCCAUAUAGUUGAUAAAUAAUCAGAUAAUAGCAACGUGAAUUUAAUGGCUACAACUCUUAUAUCCCAAAGAUAUAGAAUCCGGGCUACCGUACUAAACUUUUCUGACACUAGUGUUCAGAAUAGCAUCUCAUGGUCUACCUGCCGUUAGCCUCUCUCUGACUCACUCUCUAUGAUCCUAGGUACCUGCAAGGACGAAGAAUGUAUAUGAGACAAGAUACAUCCAUGAAGCAAUUUUAUGUUACACAUACGGGACAAAUUCAAAGUACUUCUAUAUAUCCCUCCAAUAAAUACAUAGGGUUUUAGGGCAAUGCCUCAACCCAUGAUGAUACCUUAGGUAUGGAGAACAGAUCACAAGUACAAUCCAUCAAACAACACAUCAUGAACACUGAUUUAUAAUAUGUCUUACAAUAAUUGCCUGAUGUGAUAGACGAUUACAAAUUAUGGCUAAUUGGAUGAGUGCUUGGUGGGUGGAGAUGGUGGCGGCUAUGGAAAUGAGAUGGGAAAUGGCGGUGGCUAGGGUUAAUCUGGACGAUGAAGAUUGAGGUCUGGGCGAUGCUCUGUUGCUAUUAUGGGAUUGAGCCCUCCAUGGUAGAUCGGAUAGCUCAUACGAGCGUGUACGAUCAUGUGGAACAUCGUCUUGCUUUGUUCUUCCUGGAGUGUCUCCCGCUUGAUCUCCUCUAUAUCCUCUUUACUCCCUUCCAUGUAUUGGCUUGAUUUCCUCCAUAUUUAGCCCAUUUCCUACGGAAAUAAACUAAAGAUCGGAAAUUUCGAAUCCUUUGCAUUGGUUAGUCAUUUGUAGUAAUAUCAGAGCGAAUAUCUUGGUUGUUAAGAAAUAUAUCAGUUUAUGCUCAUGUAUCAUGAGUGCAAGAACAACAGUUGUCAAUUACACCGAGCUUAGACUUGAUCAUCCUUGACCAACGUCGAGGAAAAUCCAAAACAUAAGGAACUCAGUUGUUUACACCAAAUAAGCGAUUAGGUUUUGCUUCACUUAUGAUCAACACACCUGGAUAACCCUACACUUCUUGACUUCUAAACUUAGUAUAGGUAUAGCGGUGACAUGGUUAUUAUGCAAGUGUUAGUGAAGCAAAGAUAAUCAACACAAAGCUCUUGCUCAACUAGACAAAAUAACAAAGUAACACUUGAUUCUAUUUUUGCUACUGAACACUUGCUUGCCGGGAAUGCACGAAGGUGAUUGCAUUUCUUGAGCAAUGAAAGCAUGUAUUAGGAAGUUAAAGUUAUGCAAAGACGACAUCAUUCUAGAGUAGCUCUAACUCACCCACAAGUGUCUCAUCAUCAAGGCUCUCACGAACUUUAUUUAAAUCAUUGCCUGCUGAACCUUUUGUUCUCUGGUGAUGGGAUGCCAGAGAAAGGAUCGAAAAUAAGGUUUUGUUGUGCUUUAAGUUUGAGUAAUAUGAACUAAUAUGUUGCUACUACAUACUGUAACAUACUCAUAUCCGAAAUCGGAGUCGAAACUCUAGUGGAUCGUUCAUUGUCCACUGGAGUUCUCAGCAUUACAUCAAGAAAAGGUGACAUUCACAUUUACAUGCCUACAUGUGCAUGGAGUAGUAAGACCAUUACACCAGCGUGAAGCUGAAGCGCCAUGUACAAAUAUAGCAAAGGUUUUUGGCAUAAUAUCAUUCACCUUACAACUAAUUUUCUUUGGAAAAUUUUAUCAACAAGGGCUAUAGAGUCUAUUAAAAUGGACACUAUGGGGUUAGGUAUCUCUAACAACAUCUUCUCUAAAAGUUUUUUCAACACCCAAGUCUUGUGAGACUUUCUGUUGUGCAUGGUUAUUCUUCGUUAACAUAUCACUUUAUUUUAAUAGCCUGAUUUUCAUGGAUUACUUCAGAAAGUUACAAAUACAUUUUUGUCUCAAAGUUUUGGAAAGUGGUUGCUCCGGUGCCCUGAGCCAUUCAAUGUUUGUAUUAUUACUAGCAAAAAUGCUCGUGCAUUGCACCGGGAGAGAAAAACACAUGCAUUUAGAUCCAUCACCGCCAAUCAUAAGUCGACUGCCCUCCGAAACAUGACAACUCUUAGAAAGCCGUUAUAUGGUGCACUGCUACCACGUACCAAGAUACAGUAAUAAACCCAUCUAAAAAAAUAUACAGUAGCAGCUGGAACCUCGUCACAUGAUGACAUGCGACACGAACAGACCAUGCAAUGCAACAAACAGGGGAGCCAUUAUGCAUUCAAAUAGCCUCAUAUACUCAAAUUAUUUUCCCUUUAUGUAGAAAGUCACUAUACAGUUGUCAUAGUAAAAGCAAAAGGGCAUAAAUAACCUCAUAUGAAACCAACGCCUAGCUAGCAAAUAUAAGACUUACAUGAUUUCGAAUUAUAUGACAAACUCAUCAUAUAUAGAAUCAAAGUUGAACUAUGAUAUAUAGUAGAUGAGCCCGAGCUGGGGCCAUGCAUGCACACACGAUUAAGAAUAUCAACUGCUGCUAACAUGAGGUCAGAACUAAUGGCCUCACAAAAGAUGAUUAGUUGAUCAGAACAUAGUUCUCUAGAAUAUUCACCUUUGAUAGUAGCUGCUGCAAGCGGAUUCAAUUGUACAUGCAUGGGUAGAUACUGCAUUGCAUCUGCGUUACACCUAACGAUCCUAAUUAAGGUUGCCACCACAGCCACAACCGCGUCUAGAUAUUAAAGGAGGCAUCAUCAGUGGAUUAAUUACUGAAAGGUUGCAUAAUGUCAUCCACGAAGGUGAAUACUCAUAGAACAAAAAACGUGUUACUUAAGAAACAAAGUAGAUGAAUUAGAACAUCGAUGGAUACCAUAUUACCACCUGCGUUGAGGUGAGCCAACCCGUUGACCCCGCCAUGGUCUCUAGAUGCAGCUGAUAGUCAUGGUCUGAAGCGACCCAGCCGUCGUCGACGGUGCGUAAAUCACUGAGGCCUCCGCCGACAACCCUUGUCUACCACCUCAUCGGCAGCGUGGGGGCUUGCAGCUGCGCCAGCUACACCGGGGUUGAGCUCGCAUGUCACUGCCGUCCCUGGACUGUGCACACCGCCUCUGCAAGCUAGUGCACCGAUGUUCCUAUCUGUCUGAGCUCGUGCGUAGGCGGACACAACCUAGCCAUGGGCAUGCACACUCUGCUUGGAGCCUAGCCCAACACCUACGUCAUGGCAUUAACCAUCGAUAAUCUUAUGAGCCUGAUAUUGACCAGAUCGAUAUGAGGAUUGAUGGAGACUCCGUCCAUGGCAACCAAUGGGACAAUUUGUGAACUCAGAUUGUGUUGCACAGUUAGGGGGUCCAUGACGGCACACUUCAUGGAGGCGAGGACGCAUGGGAGACAGAUGCAUGGCAUGCGAUUCUAUGAUCGUGAAUUCCGCAGGGAGUGUUGGCUAUUGGGGUGCGCAGGACGGCAACCACGACGGUGUCGGCGGCGGUUGCUGCUCGUGGUCAGGCAGGGAAGCAACACGGCAUCAGCGGUGACUGCUCGUGGUCGCGCAAGACGGCAACCACGACGGCGGCGGAGGCGGCUGUUCAUGCUCGCGCAGCGAAGCAACACGGCGUCGGCGGCGACUGCUCGAUGUCACGCAGGGAAGGAGCGCCUGGGACAGGGGGAACUCGAAUCUAAGAGAGGAGAGGAGACAGGUUAAUUAGCCCUGGCUGGUUUUCUCCCAAUUUAUGUAGCAGACUUUUUUUAGCGUGGCGUGCACCCGCGGAGGCUGGUUCCUGUUGUUUUUUUAUCUGACGGUGAUACACAUACUAAACUUAUCUUAUUUGGUGAUAGAUUCCUGAGCCGGAUAUAGACGCAUGGUGAGUUGCAACACUUCGACGGCUUAUAGGGAAAGAUUGAUUGUGGGUUAAUUCUCUAACGCUGUGUUUGGAUGUCUGUAUUGGGCUGUUGAAUUGGAUUUAGUAUUGGGCUAACCCCAAUACAGGUGUUCGGAUGCACUCUGAAACAACAGACUGAAACGGAAACGAAUAUGAGGCGUUUUCGCUCACACGCGCCCACCCGUCGCUACAAUUCGGAGGUCUGGACCUCCGAUUUCCGCCGAAUUGCCUCACGCCCGCAAAACAAAACGUUUUGGGCCUUUAUUUCCUCCCUCCACCAUGAGACAGAAGGGAUCGAGGGAAGAGAGUGGCGCCCUCGCAGAUCGACGGCGGCGCUCAGUUAGAUGCACCAUGGCGGCGUGGUUAUGGUGGCCGCCCUUCCAUUCCCUUCUUCCUCCGCCGCCACCCCUUCCCCUCCCCCGGCGCCACCCCUUCCCGUUCUCUCUUGCCCUGCCCGCCGUGGCCAGAUCCCAUCUGAACCGCCGACGGCUGCAGUCCCCUCCGGCGCCGGCCUUCCCUUCCUUCCUGGCCCUGCGGUGGCCAUCUCUUCUCCCUUCAGCGCUGGCCCUCCCCCUCCUUCCCAUCGGAGCCCAUCUCUUCUCCCUGGGCCCUCCUCAGCAGCCCCUUCUUCUCUAGCCGUGGUGGCCCUCUGUGCCGCCGGAGCCUUCUUCCCUUGCUCCACCCAGCCCCUGCUCUAAUUCUUCUUCUUCAAUCCCCUUGUCAUGUUGUUCUGAUUCAUUUGCUACCCGCUGAUGUAUUUGCAGGUUGGCCUAAAAAUUGGAAUCCCUCUUGUAUGAAUAUGAUGCAAUUUUGUGAACCAAUAUAUGGUCUGAUCUCUGAUGCAUGCUUAUGUGUGAUAUGGGGAUAUGAUACAUGCUUAUGUGUGAUAUUGGGAUAUGAUGCAUGCUUAUGUGAUCUGAUGCAUGCUUAUGUGUGAUGUUCCCGUUUGUAUUGUUGAACUUGGACCUAUCUAAACUAUUUUUUUGUUACAUUUGGAACAAUGUAUUGUUCAACUACAACUUAUUUGAACAAUUGUAUUGUUAAAUUUGAAACUAUCUCUUCUUGUCGUUGAGAAUUUGGAACACCUAUUUAAGCUAUAGGUGUUGUACUUUGUUGGUGUAAAAUAUUUUUUUUGUUUUUGCGUCAAUAUUAUAUGAUGUCGUCCUCGAUUUCUAGAAUAUAUGAUUAAAAAUGCUAUAUAAUCAUCCAAUUAUAGUCACACGAUAUAUAACUUCUGUUUUUUAUGCAUAUACUAAUGUUGCUAUCAAUUCCAUGGUUUGACAUCCAAACAUGGUUCCGUAUUGAAACCUCGGAACAAUUCCGUGAGCUAAUACAAUAAACAUCCAAACAAGCGAAUUCGUAUUCAUGUCCAUUACAAUUUCCUGGCUGAAUUGGAAUUGAAACCAAUACAAUACGGAGGCUUCCAAUACAGACAUCCAAACGCAGCGUAAGACAAUAGGGACUUUUUUGCAAAAAUGUCACGACGGUGAACCCGGAGACUCAAUUCGUGUUUUAUUAUUAGGGAGAGAUAUGAAAUUUAAUGUGCAUGGAAACGACCUCUAAAAUGUAACUUUGGCCCAUAAUAUUUUUGUUAUGUAAGGAUACAAGUCAAUAUGGCAAUUAGAUUAUACCAAAACUAGGAAGAAACCAUUAAUACGAAAAAUGAUAAAGGGGCAAGAAUCAUUGUGCAUUCGCUCCUCUUUAUAAACACCGGUGCUAGAAAUAUACGUUCAGAGAAGGAAAACAUCAAGAGAAAAUAAACACCGAUGCUGGAAAGAUACGUUCAGAGAAGGACAACAUCAAGAGAAAAUAAGUAAUAGCAAGGCAGUCUUGAUGAUGGCACUUAUCAAGAACAAGACACGCAUUCUCUUUUGUGUUGCUCUUUUGUUGACGUGUACCACUUUUCUGUGUGGCCUAGCGGCAGCGGGGAGGGACGUAGGUAAUUUCCAAAUUAGUUUCCUAGAUGAGUUUCUUGAUAUAAAACAGACCCAAAUGAUUAUGUAUCAUUCUUUCCAUACAUAUUAAUUUGUAUGUUGUGGUGCUUCCUUCAUUGUGUUUAGGUACCAAGGCUGCAUUUGGAAUCCAAUGUUUUACUUACUCAGUGUGCAUGGACUCAUAUCAGUAUGCCGUUCAUUAUUGCAACAAGGAGUGCAAAAUACUUGGUUAUGACGGCCAGAAAGGCUACUGCAAGAACGAGAAUCGUGGUGUGUGUCCAGAAGACCGGACAUUAUGCCAAGGAAUGUCCUGAAGCCCAAAAUGGAAAUGGCAAUGGAAGCUCUGGGAAGAAGCCGAACGCUUUCAAUAGGGGACAGGUGAACCACGUAAAUGUGGAGGAAGUUGAAGCCCAGCCCGAUGUAGUAAUAGGUAAGUUUUUGGUUAAGUCAUUUACUGCACUCGUUCUUUUUGAUACUGGUGCAUCCCAUUCAUACAUAUCAAGGGGAUUUGUGGAUAAGUAUAAAAUGCCAACCCAAGCCCUUAGGUCAUCCAUGUUAGUAACCUCGCCUAGAACAGAGUAUAUGGCUAGUCUAUGGUGUGAUCGGUUACCAUUAAGGAUUGGUAACUAUGUUUUUCCCUCGGACCUAAUAGUAUUGGAAUCUCAAGGAUUGGAUGUGAUAUUAGGCAUGCAUUGGUUAUCGAAGUAUGAAGGGAACAUUGAAUGUGACAGUAAGGCAAUUUUGUUUACCACCCCAGAAGGAAGAAGGAUCAAGUAUGUAUCCCGGCAUGUGCCGAAAAGGACUCAAGUAAAUUGCCUAACAGGAGUUGUGCAAGAGGAAGUACCAGUAGUGAAGGAUUUCCCUGAUGUUUUUCCAGAAGAGUUGCCAGGCAUGCCACCGGAUAGAGAUAUUGAGUUUUUGAUUGAGCUUUUGCCAGGCAUAGGGCCAAUAUCUAAGAGACCAUAUAGGAUGCCCGCAAAGAAUUUGGUGGAGAUUAAGAAGCAGAUUAAGGAGUUACUGGAUAAAGGUUAUAUUCGCCCAAGUUCUUCACCUUGGGGAUCGCCAGUACUUCUAGUGGAGAAGAAGCAUGGAUCGUGAAGGAUGGUCGUUGAUUAUCGAGGAUUGAAUGAAGUAACCAUCAAGAAAAAGUACCCACUACCGAAGAUCAAUGAUUUGUUUGAUCGGUUGCAAGGAGCUAAGGUAUUUUCCAAGAUCGACCUGCGAUCAGGAUACCAUCAGUUGAAGAUUCAAGAACAGGAUAUUCCUAAAGCGACUUUUACCACCAGGUAUGGGCUAUACGAGUAUACCAUUAUGUCAUUUGGUCUGACUAACGCACCUGCAUAUUUUAUGAACAUGAUGAACAAAGUGUUUAUGGAGUUUUUUGAUAAGUUCGUCAUAGUGUUCAUUGAUGAUAUCCUGGUUUACUCGAAGAAUGAAGAGGAGCAUAAGGAGCAUUUGCGUUUGGUACUUGGUAAGCUCAAAGAACAUCAGUUAUAUGCCAAGUUUAGCAAAUGUGAGUUUUGGUUGAAGGAAGUUGGAUUUCUCGGACAUGUUAUAUCUGGAGAAGGUAUAGCAGUGGAUCCCACCAAGGUUGACACUGUGACAAAUUGGGAAGCUCCAACAACAGUUGGAGAGAUCCGGAGUUUUCUUGGACAUGGAGGAUACUAUCGGAGAUUUAUUGAAAAUUUCUCUCAGAUUGCAAAACCUAUAACGGAGUUGCUGAAGAAGGAUACCAAGUUCAUAUGGACUGAGGAAUGUGAGGCUAGUUUCCAGGAGUUGAAGAAACGUUUGGUUACAUCACCAGUGUUGAUUUUGCCAGAUCAGACCAAGGAUUAUGAGGUGUAUUGCGACGCUUCACGUCGAGGACAUGGAGCAGUGCUUAUACAGGAAGGAAGAGUUGUCUCAUAUGCCUCACGACAUCUCAAGCCUCAUGAGUUGAAUUAUGCUAUGCAUGAUUUGGAGUUAGCAGCCGUAGUGCAUGCAUUGAAGACUUGGAGAUAUCUUCUCAUUGGAAACCAUUGUGAGGUGUACACGGACCACAAGAGUUUGAAGUACAUUUUCACGCAGAAGGAGUUGAAUCUCAGACAAAGGAGAUGGUUGGAACUCAUCAAGGAUUAUGAUAUGAGAUUGCAUUAUCACCCUGGAAAGGCUAACGUAGUAUCUGACGCGUUGAGCCGUAAAAUUCAUGUCAACACCUUAAUGACAUGAGAUUUACCAAGGGAGUUAGCUGAAAAUCAUCGUGAGCUAUGUUUGGAAAUAGUUCCGAGAGGCUAUGUAGCAGCAUUGGAGAUUCAGUCUACGUUGAUGGAUAAGAUCAGAGAAGCCCAGAAGACUGACAAGGAGAUUGCCUCUAUUAAGGAGAAAAUGAGCAAAGGAAAAGAUAAAGGAUUUCGUGAUGAUGAGCACGAUACCUUAUGGUUUGAAGACCGUGUUUCACCUAGGGAAUACCAAGAUGUAUUUGGAUUUGAGGAUAUUUUCUGGUGGACCGGAAUGAAGAAGUAUAUUGCGGAGCAUGUAGCAGUUUGUGAUGUAUGUCAGAGAGUAAAGGCGGAACAUCAAAAGCCAACAGGAUUGCUACAACCAUUGCCGAUACCCGAAUGGAAGUGGGAUAAGUUAGGCAUGGAUUUUAUCACCGGAUUGCCCAGAAAUCGUUCAGGCUAUGACUCGAUAUGGGUUGUAGUCGACCGUUUGACAAAGGUAGCUCUUUCAUCCUAGUGAAGACUACCUAUACCAGUGCAAAGUUGGCAAAGAUAUAAAUGACCAGAAUCGUAUGUCUGCAUGGAGUUCCAAGGAGCAUUGUAUAAGAUAGAGGAACCCAGUUUACCUCAAAGUUCUGGAAUCAGUUGCAUGAAACCCUGGGUACCAGGCUAGAAUUCAAUACAACUUUCCAUCCGCAGAUAGAUGGACAGACCGAGAGAGUCAAUCAGAUUUUGGAGGAUAUGCUGAGAGCUUGUGCGCUAGAUUACGGAUCUAGUUGGGACGAGAAUUUGUCAUACGCAGAGUUCUCCUAUAACAACAGUUAUCAAUCCAGUUUGAAGAUGGCCCCUUUCGAAGCUCUGUACGGAAGGAGGUGCAGGACCCCAUUGUCGUGGGAUGAAGUUGGAGACCGCUAGUUGUUUGGACUGGAUCUGAUUAAGGAGUCUGAACAGAAAGUAAAAUUGAUUCAUGAUAGAAUCAAGGUAGCCCAGUCUAGGCAGAAGAGCUACGCACACUCAAAACGCAAGGAAACAGUUUACGAAGUCGGAGACCGAGUUUAUCUUCGAGUAUCUCCACUUCGAGGAGUUAAGUGCUUUGGAGUUAAGGGAAAGUUAGCGCCCCAUUUUGCAGGACCAUACAAGGUUUUGGAACGUAUGGGAGAAGUAGCUUAUAUGUUGGAAUUGCCCGAAGGAUUGUCAGGAAUUCAUGACGUGUUCCACGUUUCCUAGUUGAAGAAGUGCCACACAGAGAUGGCUGACAUACCGCUGAGAGACACAGUGCCGCUGGAAGCGGUUCAGUUGGACAGUGAUUUGACUAGUGGGGAUACUCGAGUAUCUUAACUUUGCUGAGGAGAAACCAGUCAAGAUUCUUGAGUAUGCCAGCCGAGUCACCCGCAGCAAAGUUAUCAAGUUUUGCAAAGUUCAGUGGAGCCACCACACGGAAGAUGAAGCUACCUAGGAACGAGAGGAAGAACUGUUGAAAGACCUCCCUCACCUAUUUUCUAGCUAACCCGAAUCUCAAGGGCGAGAUUCAUCUUAAGGGGGGUAGGUUUGUAACAUCCCAAAUUUUCAAUUUGGAAUGUUAUACAAUAGAUCAUCAUUGCAUAUCAUAUUUUAUCGCAUUUGGUUGAUCCUAGAAAUUUCACGCAACUCAAGGACCCUCGGAGAGAGUUGGGUAUUUCAUUAUUUUCAUAUUUGAGUUUUCUCAAAUUUUGAAAAUAGGAUAAUUUGAUUUUAUUUAUUUUAUCUUCAAUUAUUUCUACUAUAAAAAAAUUAUGAGAGUGGGAAUAAAAUGACUUUCCCAAAAUAUAGAAAUAUUGGGGAUUUAAUAAAAAAAUCAAAUCAGAUUUUAUUUUGCUUUUAUUUGCUAUUUUAUUUGAAUUUAGGAAAAAUUGCACGUUUUCAAAAAUUGCAUUUAGGGCCAAGAAAAUGUUCAUCCUGUUCUAAAUAUUUUAUUUAGAGGGUAAAAAUUUGUUUUGGCAUUUUUAGAAGUUUAUUUAUUUUUCUAGAAUUUUUUUUAGUCGCAGCAAAAUUGUUUAAAAAAAGAGACCCCGUGCCCAACUUGGCCAAGGGCCCAGCCGAGCAGGCCGGCCCUGCCAGCCGUAGCCGCCUCCCGCCGAGUCGGGACAGGAGGCCCGACCGCCGCCAUCGGCCGAGUCUGGGGAGGACCCGCCUCCAGGCCGACCCCUUCCCCAAGUCGCCGCCCCCCCUUUAUAACCCCGCCGCCGCCCGCCUGCAGCCCCACACCCGCGCCGUAGCCGCCACCCCGGCGCCGCGUCAGAGCUACCGCCCCGCACCACCCGCCGCCCGCCGGAGCCCCGAGUCGAGGUAGCCGCUGCCCCGGUUUUUUUUGGAAAAAGCCGUUUCGGUUUUUUUUUGAAAACCCUAGUUUUUGUUUUUUUAAUAGAUCGGCUUUUCUCUGGUUUAUCUUUUUAGCGAGCGUUCGCUCGUACGUUCGUUUUAAUGAACGCGUUCUUCGUUUAGUUCCUGUUAACGAACGUCCGUUCUAUAACCUGUUCGUCGUUUUUCUUUUUCUCGGAUUAAAUCCGCGAUUUUCUGAUCGCGAUUUCUGAUCCGAUGUUUGUUUUAGUUUAGGUUUUUGCUCGUUUGUCAGAAUCAGGCGAUUCAAGCACCUGGAGUUUCGUCUCGAAGCCCUCUUUCCGUUUAACCAACUCAAACAAGUUUUUUCCUCAGUAAAAUUUGACCUAGAUUCAAAAUAGUAAACAAAGCCUGUUUCUUUUGCCGUUUGUCUUUCGUUGCUUCAUUCGAUUUGAUUCUUUUUGCCGACCGGAGUUCUUAAAUUGAACUAUCUGGUUAGAUCUCUUAUUCGAGUUUUACUUGUGCAUUAGAUGAGUACUUAUUGUAUGCUUGUUUGUUUGCGAUGGAUUACCCGGAGUGCGCCGCUUGUUACUUCGAAUCGCUAGGUUUUGCGGAUCAUCAGCAAAGCAAGUAACACUUUGAUCAUACCUUCCUACUACCCAGUUUUAUUGCAUUAGAUCAAUCCUCACACAUUGCAUUGACUAGGAUCUAAUUAAAUUGUGUGUUUGGGAAGUAGAUGAGGUAGUACAUAUUACCUGUUAUUAUCAAACCUUUGGGAGUUACUUCUACGUUUGCUUAUUUUGCCAUGCUAUGCCAGUAGACGUGGUUUGGGUGAGUGAAAUCCAUGACAGAUGUGAGUUUGUUAAAUUAAGGGUUUAUCUAAGGUGGCAACUUAAAUACACAUCUGGGUGGAUUGAGGCACCUGGGUAUUCCAGCGAUUGCUUGUUUUUCUUUGGACCGCCACCCAGGCUCAAAGGGAUCAUGAGAUUAUUCAUGCUAGAAACUUCCGUGUGCAGCCACAAGCUACUAUGGGCUCUAGCAUAGUUGACUAAGUCGUGCGAACUCUUACAGUGGUAGACUAGAAGAUGUAGGGGAUGUAGGUUGUACGGUCUACCCAUCGUAAGGUGCUAGCGCUUCUAAAAGACUAUGUCUUGGUCAUCCGCUUCUCAAACACCAUGCAGUGCGAGAAAACCAAUGGAGGAGAUCGAGUCUUGUGGGGAAAAGUGCGCAAACCUCUGCAGAGUGUAUAAACUAAUCAUGGUUAGCCGUGUCCUCGGUUAUGGACAUCCUGAGUAUCUAGUACUUGGAUUAUCAUGUGAAUCUCAUCAUGCUACUCUAAUUAAUUUGUUGGUUCUUAAUGAUGAUGCUUAAUUCGGAUUAAGAAUGUUGUCAACCAUUCGCAAUGUUUAACAACUACCAUGAUAGUUAAAUAAAAUUUAUUUCUUUGCAGUAGGGAAAAAUUGGCUUUACGCAAAACUGUAACCAUAGAGCUUUCCACCAGCCAAAUAUGCAUAUAGUAUAGCCUAUUUUCUUUCUUUGCUCUCUAUGUGUUACAUUGCCAGCAUAUUCCAUGUGCUGACCCAUUUCGGGCCGCAACGUUCAUGUUCCAGACUUUUUAGACGACGAGUAAGGUGCUUUUAGGUCAUGGUUCUAUACUCAGUGAUGCCGUUGGAGUUGAUCGACUCACUUAUCUUUCAAGCCUUCCACUGUUAUCGUUAUAUUAGAUGACCUUAAGCCAUUAUUAUUGUAAUAAGUUCUCUUUUGAGACUCUCGAUGUAAUAAGUGUGUGAUUGCUACUCUGUUAUAAAUCCUUCAAGUAAUGUGUGGUGUCAGCAUUACUGAUCCAGGGAUGACAUAUGAGCACAGAGAUUGGACCGUUUGAGGUUUGAUCGCUACAAUUACACCAGCGUGAAGCUGAAGCGCCAUGUACGAAUAUUGCAAAGGUUUUUGGCAUAAUAUCAUUCACCUUACAACUAAGUUUCUUUGGAAAAUUUUAUCCACAAGGGCUAUAGAGUCUAUUGAAAUUGACACUAUGGGGUUAGGUAUCUCUAACAACAUUUUCUCUAAAAGUAUUUUCAACACCCAAGUCUUGUGAGACUUAAUGUUGUGCAUGGUUAUUCUUUGUUAACAUAUCACUUUAUUUUAAUAGCCUGAUUUUCAUGGAUUACUUCAGAAAGUUACAAAUACAUAUUUUUUUCUCUAAGUUUUGGAAAGUGGUUACUCCGGUGCCCUGAGCCAUUCAAUGUUCGUAUUAUUAUAUGAAAUUUAAUGUGCAUGGAAACGACCUCUAAAAUGCAACUUUGGCCCAUAAUAUUUUUGGUAUGUAAGGAUACAAGUCAAGGUGGCAAUUAGAUUGUACCAAAACUAGGAAGAAACCAUUAAUACGAAAAAUGAUAAAGGGGCAAGAAUCAUUGUUCAUUCGCUCUUCUUUAUAAACACCAGUGCUAGAAAUAUACGUUCAGAGAAGCACAUCAUUAAGAGAAAAUAAGUAAUAGCAAGGCAGUCUUGAUGAUGGUACUUAUCAACAACAAGACACGCAUUCUCUUUUGUGUUGCUCUUUUGUUGACGUGUACCACUUUUCUGUGUGGCCUAGCGGCAGCGGGGAGGGACGUAGCUAAUUUCCAAAUUAGUUUCCUAGAUGAGUUUCUUUAUACAAAACUGAUCCAAAUGAUUAUGUAUCAUUGUUUCCAUACAUAUUAAUUUAUAUGUUGUGGUGCUUCCUUCAUUGUGUUUAGGUACCAAGGCUGCAUUUGGAAUCCAAUGUUUUACUUACUUAGUGUGCAUGGACUCAUAUGAGUAUGCCGUUGAUUACUGCAACAAGAAGUGCAAAAUACUUGGUUAUGACGGCCAGAAAGGCUACUGAAAGAAGGAGAAUCGUGGCGUGUGUUGUUGUGCCUAAAGUUAAAGACAUGUUAUAUUGUCAUUUUGCAGAAAAUCAUUGCAUGUAUUUGCUUCUCAGAAUACUAAUUUAUAUGGAUUAUACGAUAAUUUCAAUAACAUAUACUGGUAGUUGCUUUCGAAGACCAACUUGACUAGACGAUCAACUCUUCAGGUCAUAUGAAUCAACAAUGAGCCAGCUAAAAACUGGAAGUACUGAUAACUUAAAAAAUUAAAUUGGGGAGUGAAUUAAUGGAAAUAUAUGAGAAAUACAUUGGGUAUAUGAAAAUUUGUCAUUCAACGAUGCUAGUUAAUACCAACUGAUGGAUGUACAACUCAAAAAAAAGUCCAUAUUUGAUCCCUGAACUAUCACAAAUGUCUAAAAACCAACCCCAAACUUUGAAAAAAUCUAUCUUGCAAUUCUAAAUUGUCAAAGUCGAUCAACUUUCAACUUUUCCUCUCCUCAAACCGGUAUUUGGUGCGUUGAAGUGGUUUGGAACAAUUGAUCUCCUAGUCGGCUGCCAUGUCACUUAAUAUUUUUCCUGAAUAUGUAUUUUAUUGCAUGUUGUAAUAUGUUUGGCGGCAUCGCCGUAUAGUUGAGAAAUAACCAUAUAAUAGCAAUGGGCAUAUAACGGCUACAACUCUUAUAUCCGAAAGAUAUAGGAUCCGGGCUACCAUACUAAACUUUUCUGUCACUAGUGAUCAGAAUAGUACUUCAUGGUCUACCUGCCGUUAGCCUCUCUCUGACUCACUCGAUGUGAUCCUAGGUACCUACAAGGACGAAGAAUGUAGAUGAGACAAGAGACAUCCAUGAAGCAAUUUUAUGUUACACAUACGGGACAAAUUCAAAGUACUUCUAUAUAUCCCUCCAAUAAAUACAUAGGGUUGUAGGGCUAUGCCUCAACCCAUGAUGAUACCUUAGAUAUGGAGAACAGAUCACAAGUACAAUCCAUCAAACAACACAUCAUGAAUAUUGAUUUAUAAUAUGUCUUACAAUAAUUGCCGGAUGUGAUAGACGAUUACAAAGUAUGGCUAGUUGGAUUAGUGCUUGGUGGGUGGAGAUGGUGGCGGCUAUGGAAAUGAGAUGGGAAAUGGCGGUGGCUAGGGUUAAUUUGGACGAUGAAGAUUGAGGUCUGGGCGAUGCUCUGUUGCUAUUAUGGGAUUGAGCCCUUCAUGGUAGAUCGGAUAGCUCAUACGAGCGUGUACGAUCGUGUGGAACAUCGUCUUGCUUUGUUCUUCCGGGAGUGUCUCCCGCUUGAUCUCCUCUAUAUCGUCUUUACUCCCUUCCAUGUAUUGGCUUGAUUUCCUCCAUAUUUAGCCCAUUUCCUACAGAAAUAAACUAAAGAUUGGACAUUUCGAAUCCUUUGCAUUGGUUAGUCGUUUGUAGUAAUAUCAGAGCGAAUAUCUUGGUUUUUAAGAAAUAUAUUGGUUUAUGCUCAUGUAUCUUGAGUGCAAGAACAACAAUCGUCAACUCCAUCAAGCUUAGACUUGAUCAUCCUCGACCAACAUAGAGGCAAAUCCAAAACGUAAGGAACUCAGUUGUUUACACCAAAUAAAUGAGUAGGUUUUGCUUCACUUAUGAUCAGUGCACCUAGAUAACCCUACACUUCUUGACUUCUAAACUUAGUAUAGGUAUAGCGGUGACAUGGUUAUUAUGCAAGUCUUAUUGAAGCAAAGAUAAUCAACACAAAGCUCUUGCUCAACUAGACAAAAUAACAAAGUAACACUUGAUUCUAUUUUUUCUACUGAACACUUGCUUGCCAGGAAUGCACGAAGGUGAUUGCAUUUCUGGAGCAAUGAAAGCAUGUAUUAGGGAGUUAAAGUUAUGCAAAGACACAUCAUUCUAGAGUAGCUCUAACUCACCCACAAGUGUCUCAUCAUCAAGGCUCUCAUGAACUUUAUUUAAAUUAUUGCCUGCUGAAUCUUUUGUUGUCUGGUGAUGGGAUGCCAAAGAAAGGAUCAAAAAUAAGGUUUUGUUGUGCUUUAAGUUUGAGUAAUAUGAACUAAUAUGUUGCUACUACGUACCGUAACAUACUCAUAUCCGAAAUUGGAGUCGAAAUUCUAGUGGGUCGUUCAUUGUCCAGUGGAGUACUCAGCAUUACAUCAAGAAAGGUGACAUUCACAUUUACAUGCCUACACGUGCAUGGAGUAGUAAGACCAUUACACCAGCAUGAAGCUGAAGCGCCAUGUACAAAUAUAGAAAAGGUUUUUGGCAUAAUAUCAUUCACCUCACAACUAAUUUUCUUUGGAAAAUUUUAUCCACAAGGGCUAUAGAGUCUAUUAAAAUGGACACUAUGGGGUUAGGUAUCUCUGACAACAUCUUCUCUAAAAGUUUUUUCAACACCCAAGUCUUGUGAGACUUUCUGUUGUGCAUGGCUAUUCUUCGUUAACAUAUCACUUUAUUUUAACAGCCUAAUUUUCAUGGAUUACUUCAGAAAGUUACAAAUACAUUUUUCUCUCUAAGUUUUGGAAAGUGGUUGCUCCGGUGCCCUGAGCCAUUCAAUGUUUGUAUUAUUACUAGCAAAAAUGCCCGCGCAUUGCACCGGGAGAGAAAAACACAUGCAUUUAGAUCCAUCACCGCCAAUCAUAAGUUGACUGCCCUCCGAAACAUGACAACUCUUAGAAAGCCAUUAUAUGGUGCACGGCUACCACGAACCAAGAUACAGUAACAACCCAUCUAAAAAAUAUACAGUAGCAACUGGAACCUCAUCACAUGAUCACAUACGAUGCGAACAGACCAUGCAAUGCAACAAACAGGGGAGCCAUUUGCAUUCAAAUAGCCUCAUAUACUCAAAUAAUUUUCCCUUUAUGUAGAAAGUCACUAUACAGUUGUCAUAGUAAAAGCAAAAGGGAAUAAAUAACCUGAUAUGAAACCAACGCCUAGCUAGCAAAUAUAAGACUUACAUGAUUUCGAAUUAUAUGACAAACUCAUCAUAUAUAGAAUCAAAGUUGAACUAUGAUAUAUAGUAGAUGAGCCCGAGAUGGGGCCAUGCAUGCACACACGAUUAAGAAUAUCAACUUCUGCUAACAUGAGGUCAGAACUAAUGGCCUCACAAAAGAUGAUUAGUUGAUCAGAACAUAGUUCUCCAAAAUAUUCACCUUUGAAAGUAGCUGCUGCAACCGGAUUCGAUUGUCCAUGCAUGGGUAGAUAAUCUUAUGAGCCUGAUAUUGACCAGAUCGAUAUGAGGAUUGAUGGAGACUUCGUCCAUGGCAACCAAUGGGACAAUUUGUGAAAUCAGAUUGUGUUGCAUAGUCAGGGGGUCCGUGAUGGCGCACUUCAUGGAGGCGAGGACGCAUGGGAGACAGAUGCAUGGCAUGUGACUCUAUGAUUGUGAAUUCUGCAGGGAGUGUUGGCUAUUGGGGUGCGCAGGACGGCAACCACGACGGUGUCAGCUGCGGCUGCUGCUCGUGGUCAGGGAGGGAAGCAACACGGCAUCGGCGGCGACUGCUCGUGGUCGCGCAAGACGGCAACCACGACGGCGGCGGCGGCGGCUGUUCGUGCUCGCGCAGCGAAGCAACAUGGCGUCGGUGGCGACUGCUCGAGGUAACGCAGGGAAGGAGCGCCUGGGACAGGGGGAACUCGAAUCUAUGAGAGGAGAGGAGAUGGGUUAAUUAGCCUUGGCUGGUUUUCUCCCGAUUUAUGUAGCUGACUUUUUUUAGCAUGGCGUGCGCCUGUGGAGGCUGGUUCCUGUUGUUUUUUUAUCUGACGGUGAUACACAUAGUAAACUUAUCUUAUUUGGUGACUGAUUCCUGAGCCGGAUAUAGACGCAUGGUGAGUUGCAACACUUCGACGGCUUAUAGGGAAAGAUUGAUUGUGGGUUAAUUCUCUAAGAUAAUAGGGACUUUUUUGCAAAAAUGUCACGACGGUGAACCCGGAUACUCAAUCCGUGCUUUAUUAUUAGGGAGAGAUAUGAAAUUUAAUGUGCAUGGAAACGACCUCUAAAAUGUAACGUUGGCCCAUAAUAUUUUUGUUAUGUAAGGAUACAAGUCAAUAUGGCCAUUAGAUUAUACCAAAACUAGGAAGAAACCAUUAAUACGAAAAAUGAUAAAGGGGCAAGAAUCAUUGUGCAUUCGCUCCUCUUUAUAAAUACUGGUGCUAGAAAGAUACAUUCAGAGAAGGACAACUUCAAGAGAAAAUAAACACCGGUGCUGGAAAGAUACGUUCAGAGAAGGACAACAUCAAGAGAAAAUAAGUAAUAGCAAGGCAGUCUUGAUGAUGGCACUUAUCAAGAACAAGGCACGCAUUCUAUUUUGUGUUGCUCUUUUGUUGACGUGUACCACUUUUCUGUGUGGCCUAGCGGCAGCGGGGAGGGAUGUAGGUAAUUUCCAAAUUAGUUUCCUAGAUGAGUUUCUUGAUAUAAAACAGACCCAAAUGAUUAUGUAUCAUUCUUUCCAUACAUAUUAAUUUGUAUGUUGUGGUGCUUCCUUCAUUGUGUUUAGGUACCAAGGCUGCAUUUGGAAUCCAAUGUUUUACUUACUCAGUGUGCAUGGACUCAUAUCAGUAUGCCGUUGAUUACUGCAACAAGGAGUGCAAAAUACUUGGUUAUGACGGCCAGAAAGGCUACUGCAAGAUGGAGAAUCAUGGCGUGUGUUGUUGUGCCUAAAGUUAAAGACAUGUUAUAUUGUCAUUUUGUAGAAAAUCAUUGCAUGUAUUUGCUUGUCAGAAUACUAAUUUAUAUGGAUUAUACGAGAAUUUCAAUAACAUACACUGGUAGUUGCUUGCGAAGACCAACUUCUCUAGCCGAUCAACUCUUCAGGUCGUAUGAAUCAACAAUGAGCCAAAUAAAAAGUGGAAGUACUGAUAACUUAAAAUUUUAAAUUAGGGAGUGAAUUAAUGGAAAUAUAUGAGAAAUACAUUGGGUAUAUGAAAAUUUGUCAUUCAACGAUGCUAGUUAAUACCAACUGAUGGAUGUACAACUCAAAAAAAGUCCAUAUUUGAACCCUGGACUAUCACAAAUGUCUAAGAACCAACCCCAACCUUUGAAACAAUCUAUCUUGCAAUUCUAUAUUGUCAAAGUCGAUCAACUCUCAACUUUUCCCCUCCUCAAACCGGUAUUUGGUGCAUUGAAGUGGUUUGGAACAAUUGAUCGCCUAGUCGGCUGCCAUGUCACUUAAUAUUUUUCUGAAUAUGUAUUUUAUUGCAUGUUGUAAUCUGUUUGGCGGGAUCGACCCUAUAGUUGAGAAAUAAUCCGAUAAUUUCAAUGGGCAUUUAAUGGCUACAACUCUUAUAUCCCAAAGAUAUAGGAUCCGGGCUACCGUACUAAACUUUUCUGUCACUAGUGUUUAGAAUAGCACUUCAUGGUCUACCUGCUGUUAGCCUCUCUCUGACUCACUCUCUAUGAUCCUAGGUACCUGCAAGGACAAAGAAUGUAGAUGAGAUAAGAGACAUCCAUGAAGCAAUUUUAUGUUACACAUACGGGACAAAUUCAAAGUACUUUCAUAAAUCCCUCCAAUAAAUACAUAGGGUUGUAGGGCUAUGCCUCAACGCAUGACGAUACCUUAGAUAUGGAGAACAGAUCACAAGUACAAUCCAUCAAAGAACACAUCAUGAAUAUUGAUUAAUAAUAUGUCUUACAAUAAUUGUCGGAUGUGAUAUAUGAUUACAAAGUAUGGCUAGUUGGAUGAGUGCUUGGUGGGUGGAGAUGGUGGUUGUCGGUGUCAAAACCGGCGGAUCUUGGGUAUGGGGUCCCGAACUGUGCGUCUAGGCCAGAUGGUAAUAGGAGGCAGGGAACACGAUGUUUUACCCAGGUUUGGGCCCUCCUGAUGGCGGUAAAACCCUACGUACUUCUUGAUUAAUAUUGUUGAUAUGGGUAGUACAAGAGUAGAUCUACCACGAGAUCAGAGAGGCUAAACCCUAGAAGCUAGCCUAUGGUAUGAUUGUAUGUUGUGGUUGUUGUCCUAUGGACUAAGACCCUUCGGUUUAUAUAGACACCGGAGAGGGUUAGGGUUACACAAGGUCGGUUACAAAGGAGGAGAUAUCCAUAUCCGUACUGCCUAGCUUGCCUUCCACGCUAAGUAGAGUCCCAUCCGGACACGAGACGAAGUCUUCAAUCUUGUAUCUUCAUAGUCUAACAGUCCGGCCAAUGGAUAUAGUCCGGCUGUCCAGAGACCCCCUAAUCCAGGACUCCCUCAGUAGCCCCUGAACCAGGCUUCAAUGACGAUGAGUCCGGCAUGCAGUGUUGUCUUCGGCAUUGCAAGGCGGGUUCCUUCUCCGAAUACAUCAUAGAAGAAUUUGAAUACGAGGACAGUGUCCGACCUUGAAAAAUUAGUUCCACAUUCCACCGUAGAGAGAAUAAUAUUUUCGCAGAUCUAAUUUGCUGGCUUGUUUUGGCAGCAUGACGUUACAUCAUGGCCCAGUGAUUAUUCGAACUGUUUCUUUUAACCAGCCCCGCGCAUAAUGCGAGGCAGUUUUUUGACACGUCUUGUCAAAGCAGAGAUUGUGUCCCCUUAUUACGGGAUUCUCAUCAAUACAGGCGUGGGUAACCCAACCACACCAUCAAUUGCGGUGCUUGGGGGAUAAGCGAGUUUUACCAGGCAAGUGGGGAAGCUUAGUUUCGUCCGCCCAUAUAAAGGGAUAAGGAUUCACCUUUCUAUCCACGCCUUCUUCCUCCCUUACCCAUCCGUUUUCGCACACUCGAGCUCUAGUGCCCAAGUCCGCACUUCCCACCUCGACCUUCUCCAAUCAUGUCCGGAGCGGGAGGUAAGUGGAUGGUAUCCUCCGUCAUGGAGGGAGACAUCAAGAAACUGAGGAGGGCCAUAUACCAGCCCGACGACAUCGCGCACCGGCUCCCUGAUGAGGGGCAGCUCAUCCCCACCCCCAGGCCCCAUGAGAGGGUGGUAUUCCUCACCCAUUUCCUCCGCGGACUGGGUGUCCCUCUCCAUCCCUUCAUCCGGGGGCUGAUGUUUUAUUAUGGCCUGGAUUUCCACGAUCUAGCCUGGAACUUCAUCCUCAACAUCUCGGCGUUUAUCGUCGUGUGCGAGGCCUUCCUCCACAUCAAGCCCCACUUCAGCUUAUGGCUGAAGACCUUCAAUGUGAAGCCGAAGGUGGUGGGUGGCCGCCAGGCGGAGUGCGGAGGCGCCAUGGUGGGUAAGAUGCCAAACAUAACAUGGCUCGAAGGCUCCUUUGUGGAAACCAUAAAGGGGUGGCAAUCAGGGUGGUUCUAUAUCACCGAGCCGCAUGAGCCCACAUGGGUAGCGGCCCCCGAGUUCCGAUCUGGCAUCCCCAUGCGACUCACCUCCUGGAAAGAGAAGGGCCUGUCCUGGGGUAGUUCAAAAGAGCUGACCGGACUCCAAACAUGUAUUCAAAACAUGGUGGACAAGAAGCUCAAGCUUGUCAACAUAGUCCAGGUUAUGCUCAUCCGCCGGAUACUCCCAUGCCAACAAUGGGAGUUCACCUUGUGGGAGUUCAAUCCGGCACAACACCGAAGUCUGAACAGGCUCUUUGACACGACUCAUGAAGACGCCUGGAGGGUGUUGUUCAAAAGUGCCGAGGUCCGUCCCCCUAUUACUGAGGAUCGCGGAUUCAGCGCGAAGCGCCAAGCCAGUGCGGUAAGCUGCUUUACCUUUCACAUGAUACUUAUUUUUUAUAUAGAUUGACUCCAUGCGGGAUCUAAACUCCCGUACCUUUGACAGGACUGGCAGAAGAUGAACGGGCAGAUCGACUAUCCGUCUCCUUUGCCCGAAGGCCCCGCAGACGCUCUUCUGGCGAAGAUGCUGACUCCGGCCCCUUAUAAGGUGCUGGAGAAGACCAAGAAGGCCAAGGGGACCCGAAAGAGUUCCCGACGCCAGGCGUCGUCGGAGUUACCGUCCGAUGACUCUACGGCGCACUCUUCCCCUAAAGACGAGGAAGAGGAAUAAGAAGAUGCUCCCCCACCGACUGGGGGGGACAAGAAAAGGAAGGCCGCCCCAACCGGGGAGGCCGGAGGGUCCAAGAAGGGAAGGACUCUCCUUCCGGACAGUUCCACCGCCGCCGACGAAGGCGAAGGCGAGUGGUUUCCCGGGGUCAAGUCCCCGGGGAGAUCGUAAGUAUUCGGAUACCAAAGUAACUCCUAAGAUUCAUUUGUCGCACUGCUUUCCCUAACGCCGACCGCAAUUAUGCAGGCCGCCACGAGCCAGUAUCGAUGUAUCAUCGGACGGCUCCUUGGGCUUGUCGGACAUGGAUAGCGAUCCAGUCCCGACCGCCACCUCCCCUCAUCCAGCUAACAACGCCGAGGUGCUGUCUCAAGAGGCACCGGAUCGAGGGGAGACAGUCCUGGAGGCGCCUCAAGGCGACCUUCCGGACUCCAAGAGCUACGGGGACGGGGCCCCUGAGAGCUCCGAGUUCGGCCCUCAGCCGAACACCGUGCCAGACCCUCUAGUGGUUCCGGACUCGUGCAGGCGGCCUCCUUCUAAGAGGGGCAAAACGCCUGUGCCGGUGACCUCUGUCCAUCCAGAGGCACCGGAUAAUCUACUGGAAGCGCUUCGUUGUGCUUCCAUCGACGAGGAGCACUGCACUAUCAUGAGUGCGGUGAUCCAGAAGGUUCAGUCCGCCAAGAGCGGACUGACUGAAGCCUGUGCCAGCCUUCUAAUAGGCUUUGAGGUAAGUGUUUUAAAAUGUAGUAGAACUAUUACCGCAUAGGCAGUAGCCCCUGAUGCUUUAUUCGGUGUUCAUAAAGAAAAGCCGAACAGAGGAUCAAAUAAUAUCGCAGGAGUCUAAUAUAAUUAUGUCAAUAUGCAUAUGCAGGCUUCACUGCUAGCAUCCGCCGCACUAACUGCGGAGGUCGCCGUACUGAAGCAGGACCUCGAGGGGUCCAAGAAAGAGCUCGGCUUUGCCAGGAGGCAGCUCGAGGAGAACAAGGGUAAGUAAUACCCUGUCUACAGAUAUGUAUAUAUAAAAAAGGACGCGAUUGCAAAAUGACAGGAUCAUUGUAUGUUUGCCAGGGGCCACGACCGAGGUGGAGACCCUGAAGCAAGCGCUGACCAAGGCCGAAGGUACAGCGGCCAAGGAAUGCACCGAGCGAGAGAAGCAAGAGGCUCGGGUGGGCGAGGUGCAGCAAGAGCUCUAGGCUCUUGUGGCGAAGCAUGAGGCGUUGGAGCUUGACUCCAAGACGCGGGAGUCUGAGCUUGCCGCGGCCCUCGAGAGUGUGAAAAGUGCCAAGGCGGAAGCCCAAAAGGCCCUCCAAGAGAUCAACACGGUGAAGAAGAUAGCGGCGGGUAAGGCUUUCUUUAUGCAAAGCAAGCAUGUAAAAGUAAAUUACCGAUUACUUACCCGGAUCCGGAGCUCUUCAGGAGCAUUUGCAGAUUUGCCCGGCGGUGUGUCCAAUGCUGCACAAUUUUACCAGGCCGAGGACGGAAGCUCGACGGAGAAGCUGUCCUGAUCUUAGUAUGCUGAGGCCGAACAUCCGGUGCCAAUGAGCGACCAGCUGAAGCAGAUGGUCGAGCUACAUAAGGCGGCCGAUCAGGCCAUGAAGGGCUUUAUAGUCUAGCUGUGGCCUGGCGACGCCCUUCCGAACAGCUUCUUUGGCCUUGUGAGGUAGCUUGUGGAUGUCUGCCCACGGCUGGAGGUCGUCAAGCGAUCCAUCUGCAUUGAAGGUGCACGCCGGGCUUUCGCCCGUGUGAAAUUGCAGUGGGUCAAGCUAGACGCCGUGAAGCUGAUCAAGGAGGGGCCGCCACCCCGAGAUGUACUAUGAGGGUGUUCUGCCGGGUGCCCGUCUUAUCGCGGAUGAGUGUUCAAAAGAUGUAAUAUUUGAGUAAACUCGCUCCUUUUAUCCUGUAUUUAUGAAAACAUGUUACAUAUGCGCUAUGCAAAGCUUGUUUGAAUUUAAAAUAUUACCUUAUGUUUGGCUGUUUAUCCAAUCAGAGAGAUGGCUAGUCCUCGGCUUCUUCCCCCAUGCCACGAGUGCUGGUGUGUUCGGGAUAAACCUGAGCACUCUUGUUCCCAUAUUUUGGUCCUUCGAGGGAUGUGCUCAGCACAACGAACAAGGCAACCAGACUAAUAAUGGUUUCACUCUCACUUAGCCAUAGAAUUCUAUAAUUUUAAAUUUCGGCGAAGCCCCUAGUAUUCGAAACGCCGAAUUCGGGGCGCGAUACACGCCUGUAAGCCGGACAGGGCCGGCCCCUCGCCCUAAGCAGCAUAAGUCUUUAGGGACUCGAAAAACCUCGCCGAACAGCGACCAGUCUCUUGCCUUAUCAUGACAGUCUGUUUUAGCUUUCUCUACUGAGGUGCUUAGCCCGGCAGAACCGGGGCACAAUCGCAGUAGUUCUCCUAGCGCUACCUUAGCCGAUAGAGCGGAACGUAAGGUACCAAAACAUAGGAGACGGGCAAACCCACCAUUUGAGCAAAGACAUGAUUUGGAGCUGAUGCAUAUAAUGCUAUAAGUUCGGGGUGCCGCACUUGUGAAAGUGUUCGGACUUUUCACACCGCAUUGUGGGGUACGUAAGCCCCUGGUGUAUUGGCCGUACAAGAGUGUACGGUUGCAAGGCGUCAUUAAUGAACACACACACACACACACAAUAUAUAUAUAUAUAUAUAUAUAUAUAUAUAUAAAACAAGAAUGCAAUAAUAGUCGUAAUGUCUUGCAUUGUUUAUUGAAAAAUUGUGUUAAAGCAGAAUGAUACAGAUAGUGCGAUAAGCAAAGAGUAGGACUAUGUCCCUUCCAGGGGCAAGCUGAGGAAUGAUAUGAAAUCGAAUAUUUCGCUCGUUACUGUAAUCAACCUGGGAAUUCCAUGGUAUAAUGUAGCUAUCUGCCUCCUUGGUUGCUGCAUCAUGUGUUCGGCAAUAGUGCUGCCGGACAGUAUUUCCGGAGAUUAAGGUCCUGAAAGAAAAAGAAAAAUGACAAAACGGGAAGCCCCUUGUGCUGUUUAGGCCACGUUUUGGGGCAUGCCGCAGUUGUGCCCCCCUCCCCACCUGUGCCCAUGGUAUUUUUAAUGCGUAAUUGUGUACGCACGACACGAAUAUCACCGUUGGGCUGGGAUUGGGGUGGCUGUCGUAUUGCUACGCGAGCUCAGAUCGCGCCAGGCGGUCUAUUUGCCGAUUGCCCCGAGCGCACUUGAAGGUGUCUGGGCUUUGAAACGCUGAACUGGUUGCUUGCCUUGAGAGGCUGCUUUGCGCUUCUGCUGCGAGGGCCUAGGUGUGCUCUUCUGUUCGGAGAGAGCACUUUGUGUUUCCAUUGACUGUAAUAACUCCGCGAGAUCCUGGCAUCUUGAGCUUGAGGUAUGCAUAAUGCGGUACCGCAUUGAAUCUAACGAAUGCGGUUCGCCCGAGCAGCGCGUGAUAACCACUGUGGAACGGGACUAUAUCAAAGAUUAACUCUUCGCUUCGGAAAUUAUCCAGGGAUCUGAAGACCACUUCCAGUGUAAUUGAGCCUGUGCAAUGGGCCUCUACACCUGGAAUGAUGCCCUUAAAGGUCGUUUUUGUGGGUUUGAUCCUUGAGGGGUCUAUACCCAUUUUGCGCACUGUGUCCUGAUAAAGCAGGUUCAGGCUGUUGCCGCCGUCCAUAAGGACUCGAGUGAGGUGAAAUCCGUCGAUGAUUGGGUCUAGGACCAGUGCGGCGAAUCCGUCAUGACGCAUACUAGUGCGGUGGUCCCUGCGAUCGAAGGUGGUCGGACAGGAGGAGCAAGGGUUGAACUUUGGGGCGACUGGCUCCAACGCAUAUACGUCCCUGAGCGCACGCUUCCGCUCCCUGUUGGGGAUGUGGGUUGCGUAUAUCAUGUUCACCGUCCGCACUUGCAGGGGAAAACUCUUCUGUCUUCCAGUGUGCAGCUGUCGGGGCUCAUCCUCGUCAUCGCUAUGCGGCCCCUUGUCCUUGUUUUCGGCAAUUAACUUGCCGGCCUGCUUGAACACCCAACAAUCCCGGUUGGUGUGAUUGGCUGGCUUGUUUGGGGUGCCGUGUAUUUGACAUGAGCGAUCGAGUAUACGGUCCAAGCUGGACGGGCCCGGCGUACUUUGUUUGAAUGGCUUUUUCCGCUGACCGGGUUUAGAGCCUUUGAAUCCGGCAUUGACUGUUGUAUCCUUAGUAUUUUCGCUGUUAAUGCGGCGCUUAUGCUUGUUGCGACGUGACCUGCUAUUGCCGUCCUUGGUAUCUGAGGUACCAUGGUUUUUUGAUAUGUUAUUACUGCGAGCCAGCCAGCUGUCUUCUCCCACACAAAAGCGGGUCAUGAGCGUCGUGAGGGCUGCCAUAGAUUUCGGCUUUUCCUGACCAAGGUGCCGGGCUAGCCACUCAUCUCGGAUGUUGUUCUUGAAAGCUGCUAAGGCCUCCGCAUCUGGACAGUCGACGAUUUGAUUUUUCUUUGUAAGGAACUGAGUCCAGAAUUGCCUGGCCGACUCUUCUGGCUGCAAAAUUAUGUGGCUCAAGUCAUCGGCGUUUGGUGGUCGCACAUAAGUGCCCUGAAAGUUGUCGAGGAAUGCGGCUUCCAAAUCUUCCCAACAGCUAAUGGAGUCCGCUGGCAAGCUGUUAAGCCAAUGCCGCGCUGGUCCUUUGAGCUUUAGUGGGAGGUAUUUGAUGGCGUGUAAGUCAUCGCCACAGGCCAUGUGGAUGUGGAGGAGGAAAUCCUCAGUCCAUACUGCGGGAUCUGUUGUGCUGUCGUAUGAUUUUAAUGUUUACAGGUUUGAAACCUUCUAGGAAUUGAUGUUCCAUUACUUUGUCUAUGAAGCAUAAGGGGUGUGCGGAGCCGUUGUAUUGGUCUAUAUCUCGACGCAGCUCGAAUGGGUCUUUCCCGCUGUGUUCGGCCCGGCCGGAUUUGCUUUUACUGUAUCCAGGGUGACAUUUGUCAUCUCGCAGAGUGGUGCGCCCUCGUGAUCCAUAGAUCGAUCUUGAAUGCUUUGCCUUGUCCUCCAAUAUGUCUCGCAGGUCUGGCGUAUCUCCCCAUGCCUUUUUAUUUGAAUGGCGUUGGGGUGGAGGCUGAGCUUUUGGCUGGAAUGCCUCUCUAUCGCGGCCACGAGGUGGCCGAUCAGCCGUAUCAUAUGCUUCUUCCUCUAGUCGGGGUAGUAACCUGCGCCUUGGGUAAAUCUUGGAGGGGCGCUCGAGUUUAUAUUCCUCGGCCGCGAAGCUUCAGUCCAUUUGUCAGCCAGCAGAUCUUGAUCGGCUUGAAGCUGCUGCUGCUUUUUCUUCAGGCUAUUUGCCGUGGACAUAAGCCGGCGCUUGAAGAACUCUUGUUCGACGGGAUCCUCUGGGACGGCGAAUUCAUUGUCUUCGAGGCUUUCCUCAUCUUCGGAGGGGGGGGGUGUAAUUGUCAUCCUCCUCCUCUCCAUCUGCCGCUCUCUCAGGAGAGCUGGCUCCUUCAUCCUCCUGCUCUAAAUCUUGCUGGAGGGGAUUGUUGUUGUCUUCGGCACUGUCUAGGGUAUUAUUAUCUCCUAUGCCGGUAUCACCACUUUUGCUUUGGCGGGACUUAGAGCGGCGCCGCUGACGUCGGCACUUGGGUUGCUUCUUGGAGGGGUCAUCCUCCGCUAUCUCGUCGCCAUUGCCUUCAUUGGGUGUAUCCACCAUGUAUAUGUCAUAUGACGAGGUGGCUUUGCAGUGCCCUAUAGGUGCUGGUUCAUGUUUGUCUCCUACAUCGUCAUCCAUACCAUCGAUGUCUUCGGAGUCGAAGUCGAGCAUGUUUGUUAAAUCAUCGAUAGUGGCUACGAAGUGGGUGGUGGGUGGGCAUCGAAUUUCUUCGUCGUCCGCAUCCCAAUCCUGUUGGCCAUAAUCCGGCGAGGGCUCUCCUGACAAAGAGAGAGACCUUAGUGAAUUUAGAAUGUCGCCGAAGGGAGAGUGCUGAAAGAUAUCCGCGGCAGUGAAUUCCAUGAUUGUCGUGGGGAAUGGGAGCACGAGCACCUAUGGGGCAGGAGGGCCCCUUCUUGUCCGGCAAGGGAGCGGAGGGCGCACGCAGAGCAGAUCGAGGCGAGAGAGCGUGCGGGGGAUUUUACCCAGCUUCAGAGCUCUCCGGAGAGAUAAAAAUCCUACUGCUGCUUUGUGUCUUGUAUUCUGUUCUUGCUCGAGAGAGCGGGCGUGGCGUCGAAUCAGCCGAACCCCCAAGCUGUGGAACCAAAAUUCCGAACCUCUAGGCUGUGGAACCAAAAUUCCGAACCUCUAGGCUAUGGAACCAAAAUUCCGAACCCCCUCUACGUGCGCAUGGGCCUCCUUUUUAUAGGCUAAAGGGGUCACCGACAGGUGGCAGCGUAGAAAGAGGGGUAGAAAGGUAAAAACGCGGGUUGGUACAACUACUACCAACAGUGUCCCCUACCUAACUCUGGCGGCAGGGGGACAAGGGCAUUUAAUGCCCGUCUGUGUCGCCUAAUAGUGCCGAAAGGGACCGCUAGGGACGCCACCGUUUGCCAUGAUGGUUAUCUUGCCAGUGUCUGCUUGCCACCUCGCACCGCCAUGCUGUACAGCUACCCGCCCCGUGCACCAGGAGCGAUCUUGUGGCGACACGUCGUCGGGUGUGCUGGAGCGUGGGUGCAGAGUGGCAGCCCUGCCGUGGCAAGCGCCUUGCCAUGGCCUUUAUCUUGUCGCACCAGCCAGCUCGCCGCUCGCCGGGCCUUGCCGGGACGCGCGGGGUGUUGCGGCAAGUUUCCUUGGAGUGCCUUAGCUAGCCUUCCCGGCAAGCUCCUCUUGCCGGGGCCUUUGUCCUUCUCGGCAAGCUCCUCUUGCCGGGGCCUUGUAUUCUUCCCGGCCAGCUUCUUUUGCCGGGGCCUUGGUUGGCCUUCCCGGCAAGCUCCUCUUGCCGGGGCCUUAGUUUGAGUACUUUGUUCUUGAAUGGCAUCAAAAUAGCCGCUGAGGAUCUUGGCGGACGCCCGGCAAGCCCUGCCGCGGGUCGCUGCGAUUGCCCGUGCACAAGUUCAGGAUACUAA